Molecule: ribosomal RNA, 497 nt
Filed under: uncultured bacterium
Lineage: Bacteria
Description: partial 16S ribosomal RNA
Rfam family: Bacterial small subunit ribosomal RNA
Source: RNAcentral
GAUGAACGCUGGCGGCGUGCCUAAUACAUGCAAGUCGAGCGAACGGACGAUAAGCUUGCUCCUCUGCUGUUAGCGGCGGACGGGUGAGUAACACGUGGAUAACCUACCUCUAAUACUUGGAUAACUUCGGGAAACCGUAUCUAAUACCGGAUCAUAUUUUGUACCGCAUGGUUCAAAAGUGAAAGACGGUCUUGCUGUCACUUAUAGAUGGAUCCGCGCUGCAUUAGCUAGUUGGUAAGGUAACGGCUUACCAAGGCAACGAUGCAUAGCCGACCUGAGAGGGUGAUCGGCCACACUGGAACUGAGACACGGUCCAGACUCCUACGGGAGGCAGCAGUAGGGAAUCUUCCGCAAUGGGCGAAAGCCUGACGGAGCAACGCCGCGUGAGUGAUGAAGGUCUUCGGAUCGUAAAACUCUGUUAUUAGGGAAGAACAUAUGUGUAAGUAACUGUGCACAUCUUGACGGUACCUAAUCAGAAAGCCACGGCUAACUACGUG